AAAAAAAAACAAAAAGAAAAUUGAUGCUCCACAUUCGUUGGUUUUUAUUCAUCUAUUUCUGUGUUCAAUUUUGAAAAAUUCGGUCCGUCGUCCAAAUUCACUUUUCAACGAAGUAUCUAUACGCGUACACACCUAUCUGUGCGUAUAAUACAAAGGUAAAAUAACCCGCACGUUUGCUGCACCCACGAAACUUUGACGCGGGAUAUAGCUACCGCGGUCGGAAAUCGAUGAACUCAGCUGACUUUCCACCCUCUUUCCAAGGCUAUCUGCCAAAGUGAAUGGCGCCAAGGUUAUACAUACAAUUUAAACAAUUGUAUAAUCAGAACAAUAUUACAUGUAACGUAAAUGCCGAGUGCAGUGUAAAAUUGGUAUAACAGCGGAACAAGAUUAAAUGAAGCAAAAAAAUAAAAAAUUUAUAUAUAUACACACAUACAUAUAUAUACGUUGAAUAAAGCAAAUUAAUAAUCACGGUAUUAAAAAAAAAAAAAGAAGAGAGAGGAAAAACGAAUUAUAUAAAACUUGAAAAUAAUUGACGUAAUACAAUAUACACGAGAGAUAAAAUUAUAGAUGAAACUUUAUAGAUAUAUUAUAAAUAUUGUACAUAUACACGGAUAAAGCAAUUUUAUUUAAAUUAUAUCAUAUUAUUGAAAUUGUUGUGUUUGUGAAAAAAUAAUUAAAUUAAAAGAGAUAAAGAAAUAAAAUAGGAAAAUUAUUAAUUUUUCAAGGCUGAUCCGCUGG
This 738-nucleotide unclassified non-coding RNA is filed under the name Athalia rosae (coleseed sawfly). RNAcentral describes it as "misc RNA ENSAEAG00005010193.1". Lineage: Eukaryota; Metazoa; Arthropoda; Insecta; Hymenoptera; Athaliidae. The record is from RNAcentral.